RNAcentral lists this ribosomal RNA (292 nucleotides) under uncultured bacterium. Its description in RNAcentral is "partial 16S ribosomal RNA". RNAcentral also lists the same sequence under 2 other names. The record is from RNAcentral.
GGACUACUCGGGUUUCUAAUCCCGUUCGCUCCCCUAGCUUUCGCGCCUCAGCGUCAGAAGAGGUCCAGCACGUCGCUUUCGCCACCGGCGUUCCUUCCGAUAUCAACGCAUUUCACCGCUCCACCGGAAGUUCCACAUGCCCCUACCUCCCUCAAGACGGCCAGUAUCAAGGGCUAUUUUCCGGUUGAGCCGAAAGAUUUCACCCCUGACUUGACCACCCGCCUACGCGCCCUUUAAGCCCAGUGAUUCCGAACAACGUUUGCACGGUUCGUCUUACCGCGGCGGCUGGCAC